Molecule: ribosomal RNA, 256 nt
Filed under: uncultured bacterium
Lineage: Bacteria
Description: partial 16S ribosomal RNA
Rfam family: Bacterial small subunit ribosomal RNA
Source: RNAcentral
CAAUAGUGAAGAUGGCGACCGGCGCACGGGUGAGUAACACGUAUCCAACCUGCCGAUAACUCGGGGAUAGCCUUUCGAAAGAAAGAUUAAUAUCCGAUAGUAUAUUAAAACCGCAUGGUUUUACUAUUAAAGAAUUUCGGUUAUCGAUGGGGAUGCGUUCCAUUAGUUUGUUGGCGGGGUAACGGCCCACCAAAGCGACGAUGGAUAGGGGUUCUGAGAGGAAGGUCCCCCAUAUUGGAACUGAGACACGGUCCAA